GCAAUGGUGGUUCAGUGGUGGAAUUCUCGCCUUUCACGUGGGAGACCCGGGUUCAGUUCCUGGGCAGUGUA
This 71-nucleotide transfer RNA is filed under the name Loxodonta africana (African savanna elephant). It matches the Rfam family "tRNA". Rfam says of the family: Transfer RNA (tRNA) molecules are approximately 80 nucleotides in length. Lineage: Eukaryota; Metazoa; Chordata; Mammalia; Proboscidea; Elephantidae. The record is from Rfam by way of RNAcentral.